AUUGAACGCUGGCGGAAUGCUUUACACAUGCAAGUCGAACGGCAGCACGGACUUCGGUCUGGUGGCGAGUGGCGAACGGGUGAGUAACAUAUCGGAACGUAUCCAAUAAUGGGGGAUAACUAAUCGAAAGGUUGGCUAAUACCGCAUACGCCCUAUGGGGGAAAGCUAGGGACCUUCGGGCCUGGCGUUAAUGGAGCGGCCGAUAUCUGAUUAGCUAGUUGGUGGGGUAAAGGCCCACCAAGGCGACGAUCAUUAGCUGGUCUGAGAGGACGAGCAGCCACACUGGAACGGAGACACGGUCCAGACUCCUACGGGAGGCAGCAGUGGGGAAUUUUGGACAAUGGGCGCAAGCCUGAUCCAGCCAUUCCGCGUGAGUGAAGAAGGCCUUCGGGUUGCAAAGCUCUUUCGCAAGGGAAGAAAACUUAGCCACUAACAUUGGCUGAGGUUGACGGUACCUUGAUAAGAAGCACCGGCUAACUACGUGCCAGCCGCCGCGGUAA
RNAcentral lists this ribosomal RNA (500 nucleotides) under uncultured bacterium. RNAcentral describes it as "partial 16S ribosomal RNA". It matches the Rfam family "Bacterial small subunit ribosomal RNA", at positions 30 to 523 of the family's 1533-position model. The record is from RNAcentral.